AAUGAACGCUGGCGGCAUGCCUAACACAUGCAAGUCGAACGGACGCACGAUGAGCUUUCUCCUCUUACGGUCGCGGGGGGCGGGUGAGUGACACAUAUAUGACCUUCCUCUAUGACGGGGGUAACUUCGUGGAACCAGUGCUAAUAACCGCUAAUAUCUUGAACGGGAUGGUGCAGGAGUGCAAGGCGGUUUGCCUUACGCGUAGCGAUGGUUCCAUGCCCCAUUAGCUAGUUGGUAAGGUAACGGCUUACCAAGGCAACGAUCCGUAGCUGGUCUGAGAGGAUGAUCAGCCACACUGGAACUGAGACACGGUCCAGACUCCUACGGGAGGCAGCAGUGGGGAAUUUUGGACAAUGGGCGAAAGCCUGAUCCAGCAAUGCCGCGUGUGUGAAGAAGGCCUUCGGGUUGUAAAGCUCUUUUGUUCGGAAAGAAAAGACGCUGGAUAAUACCUGGAGGUCAUGACGGUACCGAAAGAAUAAGCACCGGCUAACUACGUG
RNAcentral lists this ribosomal RNA (497 nucleotides) under uncultured bacterium. RNAcentral's name for it is "partial 16S ribosomal RNA". It matches the Rfam family "Bacterial small subunit ribosomal RNA", at positions 29 to 507 of the family's 1533-position model. The record is from RNAcentral.